This 466-nucleotide ribosomal RNA is filed under the name uncultured bacterium. RNAcentral describes it as "partial 16S ribosomal RNA". It matches the Rfam family "Bacterial small subunit ribosomal RNA", at positions 28 to 507 of the family's 1533-position model. The record is from RNAcentral.
GAUGAACGCUGGCGGCGUGCUUAACACAUGCAAGUCGAACGAUGAAGCUCAGCUUGCUGGGUGGAUUAGUGGCGAACGGGUGAGUAACACGUGAGUAACCUGCCCUUAACUCUGGGAUAAGCCUGGGAAACUAGGCCUAAUACCGGAUAGGAGCGCCUACCGCAUGGUGGGUGUUGGAAAGAUUUAUCGGUUUUGGAUGGACUCGCGGCCUAUCAGCUUGUUGGUGAGGUAAUGGCUCACCAAGGCGACGACGGGUAGCCGGCCUGAGAGGGUGACCGGCCACACUGGGACUGAGACACGGCCCAGACUCCUACGGGAGGCAGCAGUGGGGAAUAUUGCACAAUGGGCGAAAGCCUGAUGCAGCGACGCCGCGUGAGGGAUGACGGCCUUCGGGUUGUAAACCUCUUUCAGUAGGGAAGAAGCGAAAGUGACGGUACCUGCAGAAGAAGCACCGGCUAACUACGUG